RNAcentral lists this long non-coding RNA (685 nucleotides) under Rattus norvegicus (Norway rat). RNAcentral describes it as "long non-coding RNA NONRATT023845". Lineage: Eukaryota; Metazoa; Chordata; Mammalia; Rodentia; Muridae. The record is from RNAcentral.
CCAACGCGGCACAUUGCAAGGAGCAGGUGACAGCAGGAGGGGAGCAGUGAGGGCCCCAGCAGCGAGAGGUUUAGGGUGUAGUAGGCAGGUCUGCAUUCCGGGCCACGCAAGCUCGGGCCGCACAGCCCCACGGUCUGGCAGGAUCACUCAGCGCGGCGGAUCGGAGGUGACUGCGGGAGGGGGAGCACCCUGCGUGGGGACUGAGACGCGGUAGGCAGAGACCUAGAGGGGAGGAGGGGCGCGCGCGCUUAGCGAUCCUAAGUGCUUCAGCGCCUUUAAGGCCCAGGCCUCAGGCUUUGCCCCCACUCAUUGUACUGUGAGGCUCCGAAGAACUGGGCUAUGGACGCCUUCGGUGCUCAGAGAUCUGAAUCUGGUCUUGAGCAGGGCGGCCCGUUUUAGGGCCACGCAUAAAUGAGAGACGGCAGGGGCCCUGGGCGGGGUUGCGGGAGGGAGAUAGGAAGGCUCUUUUCCACUCGCACAUCUUUCCUCAGGCUCAGGUAAACAGGUCAUAUUCUCUGCGAUCUUGAGAACGUCACUGAGUCUUUUGUACUCCGUGACCGGUCCUGAGGGCCAGUGAUAACCUCCGAUCAUCGCCUCUCCCCAUUCCCCCAUGUGGGGGAUGGGAGGAAAUGAAGAGUAGCAAGCUGGAGUGCUCACAAGGCUUUUCAUUGUGUCACCCCCCCCC